UAGACAAAUAUGUUUCUCUCUCUCUCUCUCUCUCUCUAUAUAUAUAUAUAUAUAUAUAUAUAGAGAGAGAGAGAGAGAGAAAUAUGUUUGUCUA
RNAcentral lists this microRNA precursor (94 nucleotides) under Marmota monax (woodchuck). The record is from RNAcentral. Lineage: Eukaryota; Metazoa; Chordata; Mammalia; Rodentia; Sciuridae.